RNAcentral lists this unclassified non-coding RNA (225 nucleotides) under Pseudophialophora panicorum. RNAcentral describes it as "partial internal transcribed spacer region". The stretch from base 1 to 46 matches the Rfam family "Eukaryotic small subunit ribosomal RNA", at positions 1786 to 1831 of the family's 1831-position model. Lineage: Eukaryota; Fungi; Ascomycota; Sordariomycetes; Magnaporthales; Magnaporthaceae. The record is from RNAcentral.
AAGUCGUAACAAGGUCUCCGUUGGUGAACCAGCGGAGGGAUCAUUAUCGAGUUGCAAAACUCCAACCCUUUGUGAACAUACCUCAGUCGUUGCUUCGGCGGUGGACGGUCUGUUUUUUCAGAACGGCCGGAAGCCGCCGGAGGUUCCAAACUCGUGUUUUUUUAGUGUAUCUCUGAGCCUGAAAACAAAUAAUCAAAACUUUCAACAACGGAUCUCUUGGUUCUG